CGAUCGAAAAUGAAACUGUGGAUGUAAAUAAGCGAUAUCAAGGCUGCGAGGCCGGAACGGGUAUGCGCAGAGAAAAAACCGCGUAUAUACACGACCUUCAAGUUGGAGUUGCGUGGUUUUAACUUAGAGCGGUAGAACGGGUCUGGUGUCCGGCGGCCAACAAAAGCAAGGAGAAAAUGCGCGCCGAGGCCGGGUAUAUAAGCUCGACUUUGGCCCCCACACCGCUUAUAACGCUUUUCAAGUUCAAGGUCUCGAGUUCGAGUCCUCCGGAGUGCUUGAGUUUGUGGUUUUGGCGCGUCUUUGUGGACUUUUCGUCGCGAAUAUGUUCGACUCCCUCGUGUUUUUGGCUGUUACGGUCUCCAUCUUCUGUUUGAUCAAAGUGGCCGAGCCUGCAUCCUACUAUGGGUACCAUCCGACCGAUAAGCAUGAGGUGGACGCUCCACACCACGAGCCGCACUACGAGCACGAUCUCAAAUACGAAUUCGGAUACAGAGUCCACGACCCGCACUACCACAACUACCAAGAAAGAGCAGAAGCCGGAGGUGGCGACGAUGUUGAGGGAUACUACAGUUUCCUGGAGCCGAACGGAUUCAUCCGAAUCGUGAAAUACUCGUCAGACAAACACGGAUUCCGGGCCGACGUAGCCCACCACGUGCCGUCGGGCAAGAAAGAGAUCAAGCACGGGAAAUCAGACUCUUACUUCCCGCAAAAGAACAAGCACGCCAAGCAGUCGCCGGACUACCCUUACGUCUAA
RNAcentral lists this long non-coding RNA (754 nucleotides) under Bemisia tabaci. RNAcentral's name for it is "lncRNA ENSSSA3NGG004923". Lineage: Eukaryota; Metazoa; Arthropoda; Insecta; Hemiptera; Aleyrodidae. The record is from RNAcentral.